This 987-nucleotide long non-coding RNA is filed under the name Medicago truncatula (barrel medic). RNAcentral describes it as "lncRNA gene43113". Lineage: Eukaryota; Viridiplantae; Streptophyta; Magnoliopsida; Fabales; Fabaceae. The record is from RNAcentral.
UGAAAUUCCACCCAAAAAAUGAAAAUGAAAAGGAUAAAUUUACUUUCACCCAUUUUUUGAAUAGAAAAUAUAGUGAAAUAUUUAUCGAUCAAAUAUGAUGAUACCACUGUGAGGAGAAAAGGGAUUGUUUAAAGACACAUACAUACAACGUAAAAAUGACCAUAUAUUCUCAUUUUGUCAUAACGUAUGAACUACAAAAUAUCCAAUUUAUCAUAACCGUAAAAUAUCUAAUUUUUCAUAACUGUAUGAACUACAAAAACAUCUAAACUUACAUUUCCAUCUAUAAACCUCUCCAAACUAAGUAAAAAAUAGAGUAAAAUAUACACUCCCCUCCCCUCUUAUUCAAAACAUAUUAGAAAAUAUUUCACUCCCCUCUCUUGAGAGAAGCUUGAAUUACAUUCCUCUCCCAUCUUAAGUUAAAAUCUACGUUUUAGUCCCUCAAUAAUUUUUUUUAUUUUCAAUAAUCUAGCACACUAAAGAAAAGUAACACUGCGAGUUCAUUUUAAUAUAAUCAAAUUUUGAAUACAUAUUUUUCUCUAUUUUUUAUUUACAAUUCAUUAACAUAUAGUUUUAAACUCUGUUAUAAAAUAUGAAACAACUCAAAAUAAAAUUAAAAUAUGUGAAAAUUACUGAAAUCGAUUAAGUAUAGUUAUUUAAAAGUGAAUUUUGUACUCUAAAUUAUAAAAUUGAUUACAAAAUAUUUAAAUUUAAUUGUCAUUGACAUUUAGAUUAUAAAGAAACGAAUUUAUAUUUUUUAAAUGGUGAUUCAAAAUUAAUAUAUAUUAUAAAAAUAUUUAUUUAUGUUAAAAUAGAUUAAAGUGUAUUCCCUAUUUAAUUAUUAAGGGAGGAGGUUGUAAUUCAAGCAUCUAAAACUUUUGAAAAAAGAAGUCAUUAUUAUUUUUUAGAGUAAAUUACACUCUCCUCCCUUCAAAGAUGCUUGAAUUACACUCCCCUCCCCUCUUAUGUUAAAAUAUACACUCCCUUCCC